GAUGAACGCUGACAGAAUGCUUAACACAUGCAAGUCGAUGGGGAAGUGGUGCUUGCACCAUGGUAACCAUGGCGGACGGGUGAGUAACGCGUAAGGAACUUGCCUGCGGGACUGGGAUAACAGCAGGAAACUGCUGAUAAUACCGGAUAAGGUCAUUAAGCUGCAUAGCUUAGUGAUGAAAGGAGACGCCUGCGGAGAGCCUUGCGUCCUAUUAGCUAGUUGGAGGGGUAACGGCCCACCAAGGCGAAGAUAGGUAGCCGGCCUGAGAGGGUGGACGGCCACAAGGGGAUUGAGAUACGGCCCUUACUCCUACGGGAGGCAGCAGUGGGGAAUAUUGGACAAUGGGGGCAACCCUGAUCCAGCAAUUCUGUGUGCACGAAGACGGUUUUCGGAUUGUAAAGUGCUUUCAGCAGGGAAGAAGGAAGUGACGGUACCUGCAGAAGAAGCGACGGCUAAAUACGUG
Molecule: ribosomal RNA, 463 nt
Filed under: uncultured bacterium
Lineage: Bacteria
Description: partial 16S ribosomal RNA
Rfam family: Bacterial small subunit ribosomal RNA
Source: RNAcentral